This 19-nucleotide ribosomal RNA is filed under the name Cophinforma atrovirens. Its description in RNAcentral is "partial 18S ribosomal RNA". Lineage: Eukaryota; Fungi; Ascomycota; Dothideomycetes; Botryosphaeriales; Botryosphaeriaceae. The record is from RNAcentral.
UUCCGCUUAAUUGAUAUGC